This 330-nucleotide ribosomal RNA is filed under the name uncultured eukaryote. RNAcentral's name for it is "partial 18S ribosomal RNA". It matches the Rfam family "Eukaryotic small subunit ribosomal RNA", at positions 1470 to 1796 of the family's 1831-position model. The record is from RNAcentral.
CCCUUAGAUGUUCUGGGCCGCACGCGCGCUACACUGAUGCAUUCAACGAGUCUAAAACCUAGUCUGAUAGGGCUGGGUAAUCUUUUGAAUGUGCAUCGUGAUUGGGAUAGAUGAUUGCAAUUCUUCAUCUUCAACGAGGAAUGCCUAGUAAACGCAAGUCAUCAGCUUGCAUUGAUUACGUCCCUGCCCUUUGUACACACCGCCCGUCGCUCCUACCGAUUGAAUGUUCCGAUGAAUACCAUGGACUGAGAGUAUGAAUGGGUUCGCCUAUUUCUGCUUCUCGGGAAGUGGAGUAAAUCUUAACAUUUAGAGGAAGGAGAAGUCGUAACA